This 225-nucleotide ribosomal RNA is filed under the name uncultured bacterium. RNAcentral describes it as "partial 16S ribosomal RNA". It matches the Rfam family "Bacterial small subunit ribosomal RNA", at positions 545 to 769 of the family's 1533-position model. The record is from RNAcentral.
UCGGAAUCACUGGGCGUAAAGGGUGCGUAGGCGGGUCUUUAAGUCAGAGGUGAAAGCCUGGAGCUCAACUCCAGAACUGCCUUUGAUACUGAGGAUCUUGAGUUCGGGAGAGGUGAGUGGAACUGCGAGUGUAGAGGUGAAAUUCGUAGAUAUUCGCAAGAACACCAGUGGCGAAGGCGGCUCACUGGCCCGAUACUGACGCUGAGGCACGAAAGCGCGGGGAGC